CAGCCGCCGCGGGAAUACGAAGGGGGCUAGCGUUGCUCGGAAUGACUGGGCGUAAAGGGCGCGUAGGCGGGUGGCACAGUCAGAUGUGAAAUUCCCGGGCUUAACCUGGGGGCUGCAUCUGAUACGUGUUGUCUAGAGUGAGGAAGAGGGUCGCGGAAUUCCCAGUGUAGAGGUGAAAUUCGUAGAUAUUGGGAAGAACACCGGUGGCGAAGGCGGCGACCUGGUCCUUUACUGACGCUGAGGCGCGAAAGCGUGGGGAGCAAACAGGAUUAGAUACCCCAGUAGUCCCUGUCUCUUAUAC
RNAcentral lists this ribosomal RNA (301 nucleotides) under uncultured bacterium. RNAcentral's name for it is "partial 16S ribosomal RNA". It matches the Rfam family "Bacterial small subunit ribosomal RNA", at positions 509 to 807 of the family's 1533-position model. The record is from RNAcentral.